GCGCCGUGGGCGAGGGGGGAGGGUUGUGUGGCGGAAGCGAGGGUUAGGGUUUGCGGCUAGAUUCUAGCCCCUCUUUGGCAAGGCAAUUGGCUGAUGCCUUCGGGCACUUCGAGGGCCCUUCUCACCUCAGCCUCCUCCCCUCCAGUACACUGCGGGCUAAGAGAGGUGAUCCCGAGGGUGAUGUGCUUGUGUGACGAAGUGUUUGUCUCCUGCGAUCCACGGCAGAUGCUGCUGCUCUGGUGUCCCGGAGAUCCGGUUUCCUGGCCCCUGGGGGAGGUCAGAUAAAGCAGGAGAGGAGUGGUGGGAACUUCUUUUUCCACAGGGGCCAUGUGAAAGGAAGGCUAGCUGGGAGAAUUUCUGGGGACCGCAGUCUUGGGGGGGGGGCGGUUCCAGUCCUAAAGGAGCUCUGCUGGAUCAAAGCCUUCCUGGCACUCAAAGCUCCCAAUCCCUUUGCUCCUUUGGGGGUGGCAACGAGGGUAUAGAAGAGGUGUUGGACUAACUGGGCCCUGUGGGAGGUGGGCUGGAGAGCCCAAGAAAAUCAGCUUUAAUUGGAUUCCCAGGGAAGCAACUCAGGGCCAUAAAGGUGCCUCCCCUUUAUCUUUGUGGGGUGGGAGCCAGUCCUAAGCUGGCAGCUCAGGCAGGUGGAAACGGUUUUCUCCCUACCCAAAGGGAGGCUUCCUGGGGGAGGAGAGGCACCUUUGGAGGCAGGGGACUGGACUGUUUCCAGACUGUUCUGUCACCAAGUCCAGGAAUAGAAAGAGUUAACCCCUCCCCCCAGAAAUCUGUCACACACGCUUGCGCGUGCACAGCCACACACACACACACACACACACCCUGCACAGCAGGGGCACGAUCUUGGGUCCUCUGACAUGCUAACAGCAUGACCCUGGCUGAUGGGUGAGCAGAUUGCACACCCUGUAAACCCCCUUUUGGCAGGACAAGACUUGGCAGGGUGGUGACUUGUUAGGGACCUUGGGGAGGUGGAAAUCAGAGCCCAGAGAAGAUCACACAGCCAAGCUAUAGCCUUGUUGCCCAGAAAGAAAAGAGGUUACCAGCCAUGGCUCCUGAAAUGGGUGCUUCUUGCUCUAACAUUGCCCCCCCCCAUCGGAAGGCCUGACCUGAAGUAUGAGUUUCUGACCCCUGGUUGGACUGUGAGACCAUAGCAGUUGAGGGUGGCCAGGGUGAGGGCUCCUGGAGGCAGGGCCAGACCUUACAGGAUCCAUUUCCCCUUACUCCUUGGUGUAGAGUUAGUUGUGGGGCUGCUUUCCCUGCCUGACUUCCAUUUCUCUCGAGUGGAAACUGUUCCCUAAAAGCCCCAGGGGCCAGGCACACUGUAGACAUGUAAUUGUCCUGUUUCCCCCAGACAAACACAGAAGUGAAUGGAUUAGUAAUGAAUGAAUGAAUGAAUCAGUGAAUGAAAGAAGAAAGUUUCUCAAUUGGAGGCAUCUAGUCAUUGUUUUAAAGCCUUUUCGAUAUGUACAUUUUAAAGUAUGGUUCACAGAAAAUCUGAAAAAUAGAAAAAAACAAACAAAAAGGUUAUUGACAGUCUUUGUAGCCUCAACAAUGCUAACGUUUUGAUGGAGUUCUUCCCAGGCCUGUGUCACUUGGUGGUUGGUCGGUUUUUUAAAGGCUUUGUCGUCAUUCCCUAUAUUCAGAUGUAUAUCCUGCUUUUUUUUUUUUUUUUUUGCUGGUGACAACGCCAGCCUUUUCCUGUUUUGUAACCAGUGCUUCAUAAACAUGGCAGUUAAUGUCUUCAGGCUUUUCCAGUCAAGUAUCGGAUGUGCCAUAAUUUACUUAAUAUUUCCCUUUUGUUCAAUGUUCUGCAUGUUCCUGAUGAGUGAUGUAGUGGAUGUGUUUUGUUCAGAGAGCUUUUUCUGAUGUUUAAGAUGAUUUCCUCAAAAUGACGCUGCUGGUGCCGAAGGCUCUG
Molecule: long non-coding RNA, 1927 nt
Filed under: Heterocephalus glaber (naked mole-rat)
Lineage: Eukaryota; Metazoa; Chordata; Mammalia; Rodentia; Bathyergidae
Description: lncRNA (ENSHGLG00000035952.1)
Source: RNAcentral